RNAcentral lists this ribosomal RNA (623 nucleotides) under Naganishia adeliensis. Its description in RNAcentral is "eukaryotic LSU rRNA". It matches the Rfam family "Eukaryotic large subunit ribosomal RNA", at positions 47 to 658 of the family's 3401-position model. Lineage: Eukaryota; Fungi; Basidiomycota; Tremellomycetes; Filobasidiales; Filobasidiaceae. The record is from RNAcentral.
UAAGCGGAGGAAAAGAAACUAACAAGGAUUCCCCUAGUAACGGCGAGUGAAGCGGGAAGAGCUCAAAUUUGAAAUCUGGUAGCCUUCGGUUGCCCGAGUUGUAAUCUAGAGAAGUGUUUUCCGUGCCGGCCCAUGUACAAGUCCCUUGGAACAGGGCGUCAUAGAGGGUGAGAAUCCCGUCCUUGACAUGGACCCCCGGUGCUUUGUGAUACACUUUCAACGAGUCGAGUUGUUUGGGAAUGCAGCUCAAAAUGGGUGGUGAAUUCCAUCUAAAGCUAAAUAUUGGCGAGAGACCGAUAGCGAACAAGUACCGUGAGGGAAAGAUGAAAAGCACUUUGGAAAGAGAGUUAAACAGUACGUGAAAUUGUUGAAAGGGAAACGAUUGAAGUCAGUCAUGCUCUUAGGAUUCAGCCGUUCUGCGGUGUAUUUCCUUUGAGUGGGGUCAACAUCAGUUUUGAUCGAUGGAUAAAGGCACGAGGAAGGUAGCACUCUCGGGUGAACUUAUAGCCUCGCGUCAUAUACAUUGAUUGGGACUGAGGAACGCAGCAUGCCUUUAUGGCCGGGAUUCGUCCACGUACAUGCUUAGGAUGUUGACAUAAUGGCUUUAAACGACCCGUCUUGAA